This 433-nucleotide ribosomal RNA is filed under the name uncultured bacterium. RNAcentral's name for it is "partial 16S ribosomal RNA". It matches the Rfam family "Bacterial small subunit ribosomal RNA", at positions 29 to 507 of the family's 1533-position model. The record is from RNAcentral.
AACGAACGCUGGCGGCAGGCCUAACACAUGCAAGUCGAGCGAGGACUUCGGUUCUAGCGGCGGACGGGUGAGUAACGCGUGGGAAUGUGCCCUUCUCUACGGAAUAGCCCUGGGAAACUGGGAGUAAUACCGUAUACGCCCUAUUGGGGAAAGAUUUAUCGGAGAAGGAUCAGCCCGGGUUGGUUUAGGUAGUUGGUGGUGUAAUGGCCUACCAAGCCGACGAUCCAUAGCUGGUUUGAGAGGAUGAUCAGCCACACUGGGACUGAGACACGGCCCAGACUCCUACGGGAGGGAGCAGUGGGGAAUCUUAGAAAAUGGGGGCAAUCCUGAUCUAGCCAUGCCGCGUGAGUGAUGAAGGCCUUAGGGUUGUAAAGCUCUUUCAGCUGGGAAGAUAAUGACGGUACCAGCAGAAGAAGCCCCGGCUAACUCCGUG